AGCUCCAAUAGCGUAUAUUAAAGUUGUUGCAGUUAAAAAGCUCGUAGUUGGAUUUCUGGUGGGAGCGAUCGGUCCGACACUUAGUGUGGGUACUUGUAUCGUCUCCGGCCAUCCUUGGGUGGAGUCUGUUUGGCAUUAAGUUGUCGAGCAGAGGAUGCCCAUCGUUUACUGUGAAAAAAUUAGAGUGUUCAAAGCAGGCUUAUGCCGUUGAAUAUAUUAGCAUGGAAUAAUAAGAUAGGACCUUGGUACUAUUUUGUUGGUUUGCGCACCGAGGUAAUGAUUAAUAGGGACAGUUGGGGGUAUUCGUAUUCAGUUGUCAGAGGUGAAAUUCUUGGAUUUACGGAAGACGAACUACUGCGAAAGCAUUUACCAAGGAUGUUUUCAUUAAUCAAGAACGAAA
Molecule: ribosomal RNA, 400 nt
Filed under: phytoplankton environmental sample
Lineage: Eukaryota
Description: partial small subunit ribosomal RNA
Rfam family: Eukaryotic small subunit ribosomal RNA
Source: RNAcentral